GGGUUGUGAGGUUAAGCGACUAAGCGUACACGGUGGAUGCCCUGGCAGUCAGAGGCGAUGAAGGACGUGCUAAUCUGCGAUAAGCGUCGGUAAGGUGAUAUGAACCGUUAUAACCGGCGAUUUCCGAAUGGGGAAACCCAGUGUGAUUCGUCACACUAUCAUUAACUGAAUCCAUAGGUUAAUGAGGCGAACCGGGGGAACUGAAACAUCUAAGUACCCCGAGGAAAAGAAAUCAACCGAGAUUCCCCCAGUAGCGGCGAGCGAACGGGGAGCAGCCCAGAGCCUGAAUCAGUGUGUGUGUUAGUGGAAGCGUCUGGAAAGGCGCGCGAUACAGGGUGACAGCCCCGUACACAAAAAUGCACAUACUGUGAGCUCGAUGAGUAGGGCGGGACACGUGGUAUCCUGUCUGAAUAUGGGGGGACCAUCCUCCAAGGCUAAAUACUCCUGACUGACCGAUAGUGAACCAGUACCGUGAGGGAAAGGCGAAAAGAACCCCGGCGAGGGGAGUGAAAAAGAACCUGAAACCGUGUACGUACAAGCAGUGGGAGCCUCUUUAUGGGGUGACUGCGUACCUUUUGUAUAAUGGGUCAGCGACUUAUAUUCUGUAGCAAGGUUAACCGAAUAGGGGAGCCGAAGGGAAACCGAGUCUUAACUGGGCGUUAAGUUGCAGGGUAUAGACCCGAAACCCGGUGAUCUAGCCAUGGGCAGGUUGAAGGUUGGGUAACACUAACUGGAGGACCGAACCGACUAAUGUUGAAAAAUUAGCGGAUGACUUGUGGCUGGGGGUGAAAGGCCAAUCAAACCGGGAGAUAGCUGGUUCUCCCCGAAAGCUAUUUAGGUAGCGCCUCGUGAAUUCAUCUCCGGGGGUAGAGCACUGUUUCGGCAAGGGGGUCAUCCCGACUUACCAACCCGAUGCAAACUGCGAAUACCGGAGAAUGUUAUCACGGGAGACACACGGCGGGUGCUAACGUCCGUCGUGAAGAGGGAAACAACCCAGACCGCCAGUUAAGGUCCCAAAGUCAUGGUUAAGUGGGAAACGAUGUGGGAAGGCCCAGACAGCCAGGAUGUUGGCUUAGAAGCAGCCAUCAUUUAAAGAAAGCGUAAUAGCUCACUGGUCGAGUCGGCCUGCGCGGAAGAUGUAACGGGGCUAAACCAUGCACCGAAGCUGCGGCAGCGACACUAUGUGUUGUUGGGUAGGGGAGCGUUCUGUAAGCCUGUGAAGGUGGCCUGUGAGGGUUGCUGGAGGUAUCAGAAGUGCGAAUGCUGACAUAAGUAACGAUAAAGCGGGUGAAAAGCCCGCUCGCCGGAAGACCAAGGGUUCCUGUCCAACGUUAAUCGGGGCAGGGUGAGUCGACCCCUAAGGCGAGGCCGAAAGGCGUAGUCGAUGGGAAACAGGUUAAUAUUCCUGUACUUGGUGUUACUGCGAAGGGGGGACGGAGAAGGCUAUGUUGGCCGGGCGACGGUUGUCCCGGUUUAAGCGUGUAGGCUGGUUUUCCAGGCAAAUCCGGAAAAUCAAGGCUGAGGCGUGAUGACGAGGCACUACGGUGCUGAAGCAACAAAUGCCCUGCUUCCAGGAAAAGCCUCUAAGCAUCAGGUAACAUCAAAUCGUACCCCAAACCGACACAGGUGGUCAGGUAGAGAAUACCAAGGCGCUUGAGAGAACUCGGGUGAAGGAACUAGGCAAAAUGGUGCCGUAACUUCGGGAGAAGGCACGCUGAUAUGUAGGUGAAGCGACUUGCUCGUGGAGCUGAAAUCAGUCGAAGAUACCAGCUGGCUGCAACUGUUUAUUAAAAACACAGCACUGUGCAAACACGAAAGUGGACGUAUACGGUGUGACGCCUGCCCGGUGCCGGAAGGUUAAUUGAUGGGGUUAGCGGUAACGCGAAGCUCUUGAUCGAAGCCCCGGUAAACGGCGGCCGUAACUAUAACGGUCCUAAGGUAGCGAAAUUCCUUGUCGGGUAAGUUCCGACCUGCACGAAUGGCGUAAUGAUGGCCAGGCUGUCUCCACCCGAGACUCAGUGAAAUUGAACUCGCUGUGAAGAUGCAGUGUACCCGCGGCAAGACGGAAAGACCCCGUGAACCUUUACUAUAGCUUGACACUGAACAUUGAGCCUUGAUGUGUAGGAUAGGUGGGAGGCUUUGAAGUGUGGACGCCAGUCUGCAUGGAGCCGACCUUGAAAUACCACCCUUUAAUGUUUGAUGUUCUAACGUUGGCCCCUGAUCGGGGUUGCGGACAGUGUCUGGUGGGUAGUUUGACUGGGGCGGUCUCCUCCUAAAGAGUAACGGAGGAGCACGAAGGUUGGCUAAUCCUGGUCGGACAUCAGGAGGUUAGUGCAAUGGCAUAAGCCAGCUUGACUGCGAGCGUGACGGCGCGAGCAGGUGCGAAAGCAGGUCAUAGUGAUCCGGUGGUUCUGAAUGGAAGGGCCAUCGCUCAACGGAUAAAAGGUACUCCGGGGAUAACAGGCUGAUACCGCCCAAGAGUUCAUAUCGACGGCGGUGUUUGGCACCUCGAUGUCGGCUCAUCACAUCCUGGGGCUGAAGUAGGUCCCAAGGGUAUGGCUGUUCGCCAUUUAAAGUGGUACGCGAGCUGGGUUUAGAACGUCGUGAGACAGUUCGGUCCCUAUCUGCCGUGGGCGCUGGAGAACUGAGGGGGGCUGCUCCUAGUACGAGAGGACCGGAGUGGACGCAUCACUGGUGUUCGGGUUGUCAUGCCAAUGGCACUGCCCGGUAGCUAAAUGCGGAAGAGAUAAGUGCUGAAAGCAUCUAAGCACGAAACUUGCCCCGAGAUGAGUUCUCCCUGACUCCUUGAGAGUCCUGAAGGAACGUUGAAGACGACGACGUUGAUAGGCCGGGUGUGUAAGCGCAGCGAUGCGUUGAGCUAACCGGUACUAAUGAACCGUGAGGCUUAACCUUACAACGCCGAAG
Molecule: ribosomal RNA, 2925 nt
Filed under: Escherichia coli
Lineage: Bacteria; Pseudomonadati; Pseudomonadota; Gammaproteobacteria; Enterobacterales; Enterobacteriaceae
Description: 23S ribosomal RNA
Rfam family: Bacterial large subunit ribosomal RNA
Source: RNAcentral